CCAGACGACAAGCAUCUCAACUAGCGUUACUUCCAGAAAAGUUCGACUAAAAAAUUUUUAACUUUAUUUUCGAUAUGCAGACCAUUUACAAACGACUACGCAACCGAGAUGUACCCUACACUCAAUUCGUGAAGAGGGCACGUCAAAGUGUGACCCCACAAACCCCGUUAACCGAAUCUCAAAAUCGCGAAUCUAACGAUCUCGAAACUAACGGUACUUCGAAUGCGCUUGUUCUAGAGAAUCCCGUCGCGAAUCUCGUUGAAAUCCGCGAAGAUCCAAAAGAGCUUGAUACGGAUGAAGUGUCGCAAUCGGAAUCUACGGAAACUAAUGACGAUCUGAAUGCGGUUGUUCCACCGGAUCCCCUACCAACUGGGUCUGAUAGUGAUAAUGCGUCGCUAUUUGGAUACUCGGAGGAUGAAGCUGAUAAUUUCAUAGCUAGGGAAUAUAUGAUUGUUCCAUUGCCACUCGUAAUUCGUGAUACUGAUAGUGAUAUUGUGUCUCAAUCUGGAUCCUCAGAAUAUGAAACUACAGAUCCUGAAGUCGAGAAUAAUCGCGAGACGGUUGUUCUAGUGCAUUCCGUCGCCGUGGGUGGUGACUCACAAAGUGACGAAUCGGCCGAGGGUAGUGAUACCGAUAGUGACGCAGUUUCCUUCGAGUUUGUUGAUUAAACCGGAUCCUUUUGCGAUAGAUCACAAAUUUUGUAUUUUAAAUAUUACUAUUUGCUAAAAAAUUUAAAAUUCCGCUCCCAAAAAAUGACGCACUAUCCGUAUCCCCAGGCGAUAGAUACCAAAAAAAAAAGAGUUCCAAAUCUUGUUUUGAAUUAUUAUUUGCAGAAAAAUUGAAAUUUCCGAGGGUGGUGUACCACAAAACGAAGAUCUAAUAGAGGGUGGUGACCCCGAAAAUCAUGCACUAUCUGGAUCCUUGGCUAGUGUAUUUAACUAGAUCCCUUUGCGUCAAAAAGAAGUUCUAAAUUUUUUUUUUUAAAUAAUAUCAUUUUCUGAAUUUUUGAUUUCCAUAAAAUUACGAACCACAAAAUGAUCGCUUUGCGCUAGAUACCAAAAAAAAAAGUUUACAAGUUUCAAAGUAUUAUUUUUUGAAAAAUUGAAAAUUGCGCACAGGUCGAUUGCCCUUUGAACCUGUUUGUGCCGACACCGACUGAAACAAAAGUCCACCAUUCUGGGACAAUGGAGCAGCGGCAGAUUCUAAGGCAUCAAAAGAACAGCGACUCGCAAUUUGGAAUCGGACCAAUUAGUUGUCCUUUGUCCUGGCACCUUUGUCGCCCGGAUUUUCGCAAACACACCCAAGGAGUCCUGUUUCAGGACGGAGGAUCCCUUUUAUAUUAUUCACCAUACCAUACACCAUACACCAUGGACCAUGGACCUUGGACCGUGGAGGGAGCGCAGCGGGCGUGCGGUGCGGAGAUCAGAGGAGCGGUCCGCCGCGGGGCGCCCUCAACUGAUGAUCAUUUCGACACCCCAUUUAUGCGGCGGCUUCUUGCAUUCUCCUCUCCGGUUCUCUCCAGUCAGCUCCUGUUCUCCGUGCACUGCGCAAAACUCUUACACGAUUUUCUGGUCUUAUGUUCAAGCGAAAUUUAAGAGAAAAAGAAAUACAAAUAAUUA
This is a long non-coding RNA of Drosophila subpulchrella, 1619 nucleotides long. RefSeq lists it as uncharacterized. The transcript is spliced from 5 exons. The record is from RefSeq and is a predicted model, not a curated record. Lineage: Eukaryota; Metazoa; Arthropoda; Insecta; Diptera; Drosophilidae.